UUCCGGUUGAUCCUGCCGGAGGCUACCGCUAUUGGAGUUCGAUUAARCCAUGCGAGUCGCGAGUCUUAGGGACUCGGCGUACCGCUCAGUAACACGUGGGUAACCUGCCCUAUGCUGGGGGAUAACCUCGGGAAACUGAGAAUAAUACCCCAUAGUUCACCACGCCUGGAACGGUGGGUGGAUGAAAGCUCCGGCGGCAUAGGAUGGGCCUGCGGCGUAUCAGGUUGUAGGGGGUGUAAUGUACCCUCUAGCCAUCUACGCGUACGGGUGUUGGGAGACAUCGCCCGGAGAUGGAUUCUGAGACACGAAUCCAGACCCUACGGGGUGCAGCAGGCGCGAAAACUUGGCAAUGCGAGCAAUCGUGACCAGGGAACUCCAAGUGCAUCGGGUAAGACCGAUGCUUUUCUUGACUCUUCAAAGGUCUUGGAAUAAGGGGUGGGUAAGGGACGGUGCCAGCCGCCGCGGUAAUACCGGCGCCUCAAGUGGUAGUCGCUUUUAUUGGGCCUAAAACGUCCGUAGCCGGUUUGGUACAUUCGUGGGUAAAUCAAGGCGCUCAACGUCUUGAAUUCUGCGAGCACGGCCAGACUUGGGACCGGGUGAGGUGUGGGGUACUCUCAGGGUAGGGGUAAAAUCCUGUCAUCCUGAGAGGACCACCUGUUGCGAAGGCGCCACACUAGAACGGAUCCGACGGUCAGGGACGAAGCCUAGGGGCACGAACCGGAUUAGAUACCCGGGUAGUCCUAGGUGUAAACGCUGUGGACUUGAUGUUGGGAGUGCUCCGAGCACCCUCAGUGUUGAAGCGAAGGUGAUAAGUCCACUGCCUGGGGAGUACGGUCGCAAGUCUGAAACUUAAAGGAAUUGGCGGGGGAGCACUGCAACCUGAKGGAUUGUSCGSUUUAAUUGGACUCAACUCCGG
Molecule: ribosomal RNA, 916 nt
Filed under: uncultured Candidatus Poseidoniales archaeon
Lineage: Archaea; Methanobacteriati; Thermoplasmatota; Candidatus Poseidoniia; Candidatus Poseidoniales
Description: SSU rRNA
Rfam family: Archaeal small subunit ribosomal RNA
Source: RNAcentral